CAGUAGCCGCGGUAAUACGUAGGUCCCGAGCGUUGUCCGGAUUUAUUGGGCGUAAAGCGAGCGCAGGCGGUUAGAUAAGUCUGAAGUUAAAGGCUGUGGCUUAACCAUAGUACGCUUUGGAAACUGUUUAACUUGAGUGCAAGAGGGGAGAGUGGAAUUCCAUGUGUAGCGGUGAAAUGUGUAGAUAUAUGGAGGAACACCGGUGGCGAAAGCGGCUCUCUGGCUUGUAACUGACGCUGAGGCUCGAAAGCGUGGGGAGCAAACAGGAUUAGAUACCCGUGUAGUCCCUGUCUCUUAUACC
RNAcentral lists this ribosomal RNA (301 nucleotides) under uncultured bacterium. Its description in RNAcentral is "partial 16S ribosomal RNA". It matches the Rfam family "Bacterial small subunit ribosomal RNA", at positions 509 to 808 of the family's 1533-position model. The record is from RNAcentral.